UCAGAUUAGGGACUAUCGUUCUCAUAGUAUAGUUUGCAGAGGUAGAUCUUGCAAGCGUAUCAGGUUUAGUUAAGUUUUUGUACCCUUGUCGAGAUGCAAUGCCACUGAUAAAGCUGUUUUGUUGACAUAGCUACUUUGUUCCCGAAUUUUACUGAUAUCUAUCUGAUUUUUGAACUGGUUUAUGUGUUGGCUUAGAUAGUACUCUAUAUUGAUCACUUUUUCCCUUUCAUUCCUUAAAAUCUCAUUUUUUUUCCCUGGUGGCUCUUUUGAGCUCUGACAUAGCAACAAGAUAGUAUAUCGGUUACUCGGAAACUAUUCGCCGGCGACAUCGGACACCAUUUGAACUCGUACGAACGCUCCUCUCUGGCGACCGUUGAGGCGUCCUGAGCUCCCCGCCGGUGCGCUGCUCGGCCCUGGCUGCAGUGGCCAUGCAGUGUGCCGCCGGUGUGCCAGAGCUGGCCGCGGCCGUUGGCCUGGGGCCGACGCUCAGCUGCGCUCCCCCGAAGCACUGGCAUCUGCUCGCUAGGCCGAGGGAUUGUGAUCGUCUUCAGCUUUUCCUGGAUGCCCUGGUGUCUAUCGCGCGUCGGCUCUCCGGCUUCGUAGCUUGCCCCUAGUGGCUUUGUGUUUCUUCUUCUUUCAUUUGGGCGUCCUUGUGUUGUGGCCCCAACAUUUCUUGUUUAUGACAGUGCUUGAGAUGUGGUUGUAUGGACAUAUGCUUUAUCUAUAAAGCGGGGCGAAAGCCUAUUUCGAGA
Molecule: non-coding RNA, 752 nt
Organism: Triticum urartu
Lineage: Eukaryota; Viridiplantae; Streptophyta; Magnoliopsida; Poales; Poaceae
Source: RefSeq, a predicted model, not a curated record